Molecule: long non-coding RNA, 1522 nt
Filed under: Ananas comosus (pineapple)
Lineage: Eukaryota; Viridiplantae; Streptophyta; Magnoliopsida; Poales; Bromeliaceae
Description: long non-coding RNA (ACOM_LNC009951)
Source: RNAcentral
AUAUGUAUAAUUUUAUACUUAGUCUACACCUUCUUUUAUCAAGUGGACUAAAUACUAGAUACAUGGCAGUGAACCUCCACAUAAGACAUAAGUAGGCACUAAAAAAAUAAAAAAAGAAAUCAAUGGAGAGCUUUGGAGAAGUAAAGUUUUAAUGAACUUCUAAAUGAUAUGCCUGCAAUUCGGUUGUUCUAGAGUGUUAAAUAUAAAAAUGUUUAAACACCGUUCUCUAACAGCUUAAGCUUUUAGAGUACAACGGUUGUUUCACAUGGUAUCAAAGUAGGAGGUCCUAAGUUCAAGUCAUGCCAGACCCCUAGUAUAAUUAAUUUCCUCCCAUUUAUCAAGCCCACGUCAUGAGCCGACUAAAAAGUGGCGAACCCAGAUGUGAGGACGUGAGGGGGAGUGUUAAAUAUAAAAAUGUUUAAACACCGUUCUCUAACAGCUUAAGCUUUUAGGUAGCGUUUGGUUGGGGAACAAGUGGGGGAAUAAGCCCUUGUUCCCCCCUUUGUUCCCAAACUUUGGCUCUCGGGAACAAUAGUUCCCGGGAAUCUGGAACUAGCUGGAAUAAGGCUGGAACUGCUGUUCCACCCGUUUCCUGGAACAAGCUUGUUCCCUGAUGAGAACAAGAUUAAUUAAAAUCUAAAUUUAAUUUUAAUGGCAAUAAAUUAUUAAUUAAUCUAAUUAAUAUAUUUAAAUUAUUAUUUAUUGUUUUAAUAAUUAAAUAAUUAAAUAAUUUAUUAUUUAUAAUUAAUUAUUAAUAAUUAGAUAAUUAUUAUUAUUAAUUUAUUAUUUAUAAUUAAUUAUUAAUAAUUAAUAAUAUUUAUUAAUUUUUUAUUAAUAAUUAUUAAUAAUUAUUAUUCUUAAUGAUAAUCGAUAUUAUUAUUAAUAUAUUAUUUAUAAUUAAUAAUUAAUAAUUAAUAUUAUUAUUUAUUAAUAAUUAAUUAAUAAUUAUUAUUCUUAAUAAUUAGAUAAUCGAUGUUAUUAUUAAUUUAUUAUUUAUAAUUAAUUAUUAAUAAUUAUUAUUAUUAUUUAUUAAUAAAUAUUAAUAUUAAUUAUUAUUAAUAAUUAGAUAAUCAAUAUUAUUAAUAAUUUAUUAUUUAUAAUUAAUUAAUAAGAAUAAUUAAUAAUUAUUAUUAUUUAUUAAUAAUUAAUAAUAAUAAUAAUUAUUAUUAAUUAGAUAAUCGUUAUUAAUAAUUUAUUAUUUAUAAUUAAUUAUUAUUAUUAAUUAUUAUUUAUAAUUAAUUAUUAAUAAUUAAUUUUUUAUUUAUUUUUAAGUAAUAUUUUUAUGUUAAUUAAUUACAUAAUAUAAUUUUAAUUUCAAAUUAUAACGUUUAUUCCUCUUGUUCCAAUCUAAUCAUCCAAACACUAUUUACCUUAUUCCUAGGAACAACCUAAUUUUCAUCCAAACGCAAAAUUGGUCUAGUUCCUGCUUAUACUUGAACUUGUACCUAUUCCUAGAACUAGCAAUUCUUACUUAUACCCGAACCAAACGCAGCCUUAGAGUACAACGGUUGUUUCACAUAGA